RNAcentral lists this ribosomal RNA (387 nucleotides) under uncultured bacterium. RNAcentral describes it as "bacterial SSU rRNA". It matches the Rfam family "Bacterial small subunit ribosomal RNA", at positions 30 to 416 of the family's 1533-position model. The record is from RNAcentral.
AUUGAACGCUGGCGGAAUGCUUUACACAUGCAAGUCGAACGGCAGCACGAGAGCUUGCUCUUGGUGGCGAGUGGCGAACGGGUGAGUAAUAUAUCGGAACGUAUCCAAUAAUGGGGGAUAACUAAUCGAAAGGUUAGCUAAUACCGCAUACGCCCUACGGGGAAAGCAGGGGAUCUUCGGACCUUGCGUUAAUGGCGCGGCUGAUAUCUGAUUAGCUAGUAGGUGAGGUAAAGGCUCACCUAGGCUUCGAUCAGUAGCUGGUCUGAGAGGACGACCAGCCACACUGGAACUGAGACACGGUCCAGACUCCUACGGGAGGCAGCAGUGGGGAAUUUUGGACAAUGGGCGCAAGCCUGAUCCAGCCAUUCCGCGUGAGUGAAGAAGGCC